GAUGAACGCUGGCGGCGUGCCUAAUACAUGCAAGUCGAGCGAACGGACGAGAAGCUUGCUUCUCUGAUGUUAGCGGCGGACGGGUGAGUAACACGUGGAUAACCUACCUAUAAGACUGGGAUAACUUCGGGAAACCGGAGCUAAUACCGGAUAAUAUUUUGAACCGCAUGGUUCAAAAGUGAAAGACGGUCUUGCUGUCACUUAUAGAUGGAUCCGCGCUGCAUUAGCUAGUUGGUAAGGUAACGGCUUACCAAGGCAACGAGGCAUAGCCGACCGGAGAGGGUGAUCGGCCACACUGGAACGGAGCCACGGUCCAUACUCCUACGGGAGGCAGCAGUAGGGAAUCUUCCGCAAUGGGCGAAAGCCUGACGGAGUAACGCCGCGUGAGUGAUGAAGGUCUUCGGAUCGUAAAACUCUGUUAUUAGUGAAGAACAUAUGUGUAAGUAACUGUGCACAUCUUGACGGUACCUAAUCAGAAAGCCACGGCUAACUACGUG
This 497-nucleotide ribosomal RNA is filed under the name uncultured bacterium. RNAcentral's name for it is "partial 16S ribosomal RNA". It matches the Rfam family "Bacterial small subunit ribosomal RNA", at positions 28 to 507 of the family's 1533-position model. The record is from RNAcentral.